Pantherophis guttatus is the source of this 472-nucleotide long non-coding RNA. RefSeq lists it as uncharacterized. The record is from RefSeq and is a predicted model, not a curated record. Lineage: Eukaryota; Metazoa; Chordata; Lepidosauria; Squamata; Colubridae.
CUGUGUAGGUCAAAGAGCCAUUUGGAUCCAUUUCCCACAAAAAAGAAAUCACCGGGAGCCACAAAACCUAGAGCUGUGUCCUGUCCCAGGAAUAAGAUUUGGUCCAGAACCAAUCCAAAUAUGAAGAUCCUUUAUCUGCUCUUCGCAGUCCUUUUUUUUACCUUCCUGACUGAACCAGGUGCCGGCCAAGGGCAAACUCAACGUAGGUGUUAUUUGCUUCGCUGUCGUACUGGCUUCGUUCAAAUUGGAAGAAAUUGCUGUAGAAAUUUAAAAAAUAGUGUCAAAGGAAAAUGAUGCAAUCUCUAUCCUGGAUAUCUCUGAGUUAUGGCCAACGACCUGUCAUCACCGCCUGUUAUCGCUUUAGCUUCUCUUAUGUAAAUCAAAAUUGCUAUCUAUCAGACUCUAAAACAUGUAUACAUUGAAGCAAAAUUUGGCAUUUUUUUCCUUAAAAUAAAGCUAAAUCAGCAUUGCA